Amblyraja radiata (thorny skate) is the source of this 267-nucleotide long non-coding RNA. RefSeq lists it as uncharacterized. The transcript is spliced from 3 exons. Lineage: Eukaryota; Metazoa; Chordata; Chondrichthyes; Rajiformes; Rajidae. The record is from RefSeq and is a predicted model, not a curated record.
UGCCCCACGAAGCAGGAACACAUUUCCUCUCCUCACCAGUCUAAAGCGAGUACUGUGUCUACCCUCUCCACAGACCCCUCAUCCACACCUUUCCCAGGUGGAGGGGAAUGAUGGCUACGAGAUGGGCCAGAGGGCUGGACAUAUUUGACAUCAAACCAAACUGUGCAGCGAUUACCCCCUCAUUCUCCCCCUUUCCCGCAGUCCUUCCUUCCCCCAUGCGCCCCUUCCUUUCUCCAUCCCGCUACUCUCUCUCAAACACAGAGUUAC